ACAGCCUCCCCUGCCCGGACCCUGAUCCAAGACCCUACCUCUGGUCCCUCAACUCUGUCCACUCAGCUCGCCGGCCUGGAUGUGGGUGGGGUUAGUGUCAGUGGUACCCUGUCCUCUCUGUCAGGCCACAACCCUGGAGAUGACUUUGACAUGUUUGCUCAGACCAGGACCAGCUCUCUGGCAGAUCAACGCAAAAGUGUGAAGUACGAGGACCCUCGAGCCCUGGGUGGGCUUGCCUCAGCUCUGGACGUCAGACAACAGAACGCCACUGGAGGGCUGAGGGUCAUAGGGGAUGAUAACCCAGAGUUGGAGCUGCCCAUAGACAGCUGGCUUAUUACCCAAGGAAUGGUGAGGACUCCAUCCUCAGUGUCCUCCCCCUAUGUCCAAUCACGCCAUCAUCCAUAUCCCCCUACACCGCUGGCACCCUAUCACCAUCCCCCCCCCAUCCAUCCCCCUGACAAUCCAUAUCCCAGCACUGCUAAACCAGCUAGCGCCAACAGUAGAAUGGAGACACGUCAGAAAAAGCCAGACGACGACUCCAAUUGUACAAUACCCACACAAUGAUGAAUAAAUAAGCUGUUAGAAUCUUAAUUUGUCCUUGUGUGCUCUGAAAGGAAUCUAAACUCCUAGGACCUCUGAGCUGGUGAAUAUGAGUUAUGCAUAUUCUGAAAACAAAUGUGGACUCCCUUCACUCUGUCCCUCCUACUGUUGGUCCUGGUCCUCUCAUCCUCCCUUCAUGGAUGACGUGAAAGGUCUGCUUGGUCCCCAGGGCCAGGUGUGGGUUUUCAUCAGUCACAAACAGUUAAUGUCUAACAGUCACACACUAAACCCAGGAGAGGUACAGAUACUUUACUGCUGCACAACAGGUUAUGUUGCCAUGGCUGUUGACAUUAUAGAAAUAUAAUCACUGGAACGGGAAUCCCCAUUCAAGUCAGUCGGUCUAGAAUGGAUAGAUUGGCGGCCAUUUUAAAAGGGAUUCUAUUUCUAUGGUUGACAUCAGAUUUGUUGUCAACAGUAUCAUUAUUGCUGAUUCGACCUGGUUCAAACGUCUGUGUAGCGAUAAGUAUCAUCAUCUCUGUCAGAUGCAUUGUCAAGCUAACGGUCUAUAGAUACAUUUUUAUUGAACUACACUGAACAAAAAUAGAAACGCAACAUGCAACAAUUGCAAAGAUGUUACUGAGUUACAGUUCAUAUGAGGAAAUUAGUCCACUUAAAUAAAUAAAUUAGGCCCUAAUCCAUGAAUUUCACAUGACUGGGAAUACAGAUAUGCAU
Molecule: long non-coding RNA, 1272 nt
Filed under: Oncorhynchus kisutch (coho salmon)
Lineage: Eukaryota; Metazoa; Chordata; Actinopteri; Salmoniformes; Salmonidae
Description: lncRNA (ENSOKIG00005042957.1)
Source: RNAcentral